UUCUCUGCAACAGGAAAUAAACAGUCACUAUUUAGUGAUUUAUACAUUUGAAUGGACCAAGAGUCAGCCAUCUUGUGUUAAAGGCCUGAAUGCCCAGCCUACUAACAGAUCGAGGGGGAGGCACCUUUUGACAUUCUCUACAGAUGGCUGAAUUCUAAUCUUGAUCCUUAGGGUCUUUAAAAAUGACCUUCUGCAAACCUUGAAAAUCUUUAACAUCAUAAACUUCCUGACCAGAAAUAUCACACUAGAAAUCUUACACAUGAAAUCACAACUAAUAUGUGCCUACUCGGGUCCAAAGUGGCCUUGUGAAGAGGAAACUGAACUCAAGCACUGGUUACUUAAAUAUUUAGAAUGUUUCUUUAAAAUAUGGUAGAAAUUUCAUAAAAUGAACGGAGUCUAUUUGAGAGAAAAAUGUUUUGUUUUGGCUUUGUUACCCAGGCACAGCUGGAUCAAGUUCUCUCUCCUUCACUGUGCUUGUUAGUCUCUCUUUAAGCUCACCCCUACAUCCACUCUCCACCCUUCUUGUCUUCCAUCACCGUCCGGCACUCUAUCCAGUUCUUCUUUGCCCUCUAACUCCCUUCCAUUUCACUUCUACCAGUGGCAGGACCAGCAGAGAUAAGAGAUGAAAACCUCCUGGUGUAUUUUCCUCCACUGCCUCCAAGCAUCUGAGCCUUGUGGUUCUAGCAGGACUGGGUGUUUGUAUGAUUGUCUAUAGCACACUGUUCCAGCCGAAUGGCCUCUACAUCCUCUACAUUCAUUUCCAAGAAUAAUGAAAAUUUUCGACUCCUGGUGGUUCCUGGUGGUUUUAGUAUCUCCUUAAUCCUGCAUACACCUUUACAAAUUCUCCAGAAUUCCCUGAGUGUGCCUUCUUUUCCUUGCAGGAUUUCUGACUUUGGAUGAAAAUUUCAAGCUAUCCCCCAGCCAAGAAAAGAUUCCCCGAGUCGGCAUGCUGCUUAAAGAGUCAAUGAGGCAGAGUGGACAGUGAGACAGAGAAAGGUCUUCCUUUUCCUUUGGUUCACCCUCCAAUGGCCGCUGCAGCCGGCACACCGCGCUGAUCCGAAGGCAGGAGCCAGGUGCUUCUCCUGGUCUCCCAUGUGGGUGCAGGGCCCAAGUACUUGGGCCAUCCUCCACUGCACUACCGGGCCACAGCAGAGAGCUGGACAGGAAGAGGAGUGACCGGGACAGAAUCUGGUGACCCUACUGGGACUAGAACCCGGUGUGCCGGUGCCGCAGGCGGAAGAUUAGCCUAUUGAGCCGCGGCGCCUGCCACAAUGUUCUUAGACAUUUAUCUCCAUCAUGACCAGACUAUUACAUUGAACAAUCACCAGCGUGAGUGUGAAAACAAACAUUAAAACACUUGGUUGGAACGCUUUAUACUUUGCACAGAAUGGAAACUAAAAACUAUUAAACCUCUUACACAAUUA
This is a non-coding RNA of Oryctolagus cuniculus (rabbit), 1424 nucleotides long. NCBI's taxonomy places the organism in Eukaryota, Metazoa, Chordata, Mammalia, Lagomorpha, Leporidae. The record is from RefSeq and is a predicted model, not a curated record.